UUGAAACCAAUGAUUAAGAAGAGUAGGUUUUGUGCUGGUCACUUACAGAGAGUUGCGGGUGGUGAAAUCGCAACAGGGAAGCCUUAGCUGAAUGGACUUAAGAGGGCAAGACGAAAAGCGGCUACAAGCAACAGCUGCCUAGUAGUACCUGACGGGAACUUCACCCGUUACCAAGGAAGUGCAUAUCAUAAUGUAUGCAGAAAAAGUGGGUGCUUUUUUGCAUCAAUUUGAGUGGUACCGCAGAUGUAUAGACUUUUGCCUCAAUG
Molecule: non-coding RNA, 266 nt
Filed under: Sporomusa sphaeroides
Lineage: Bacteria; Bacillati; Bacillota; Negativicutes; Selenomonadales; Sporomusaceae
Description: Sporomusa sp. T-box sequence
Rfam family: T-box leader
About the family: Uncharged tRNA acts as the effector for transcription antitermination of genes in the T-box leader family.
Source: RNAcentral